GUGGAAUCCCAUGAUCUCAUGGAGCCACUAAAAAAAAACACUUCUCCCAGCCAUGCCUCUUUUUCAUUACCCAGCCCAGCUGAUCGCACCAGAGAGGCACAGUGCAAGAACCUGGAUGUCUUUUAAACUUGCUGAAAAGGAAUCUGAGCCAGCAGGUCCUUUAGGAGAGAAGGUGUCGCUAAUCACGUUGAGUGAAGCAGCUUUCCCCCUGGAUUCCUGAGAAUUCUCCUCCCAACACGCAUCUGUCGAUGCUCAGAUGCACAUCUCAAAUGGCGUUCAGUCUGAACGGACCAUUAGGUGUGCAUGUUCAAACAUGAACAGCAUGCUAAGACAUUCCUCCUGGCUCUGAAUGGCAGGUUCUGACUGGGAGCGGUGUAUUUCUGCAAACAACAGUAGGAGGAGGCAUAGUGACCGUUUUAACAAAUACGUACCUUCUGCAGCUUAAAACAUUAUUUUACUAAAAUAAUGGUGGUUAAUUAAAACAUUAACACCAAUUGUUUAAAACGAUUACUGAUGUCUAAUUCAGCAAAUCUUUCUUUAAAUAUUGUUUUAUUAAAAUAAUAUUUUAGUUACCAUUCU
This is a long non-coding RNA of Girardinichthys multiradiatus, 579 nucleotides long. RefSeq lists it as uncharacterized. The record is from RefSeq and is a predicted model, not a curated record. Lineage: Eukaryota; Metazoa; Chordata; Actinopteri; Cyprinodontiformes; Goodeidae. The transcript has 2 exons.